This is a non-coding RNA of Vicia faba (fava bean), 240 nucleotides long. The record is from the annotation of a GenBank genome assembly. Lineage: Eukaryota; Viridiplantae; Streptophyta; Magnoliopsida; Fabales; Fabaceae.
AUGAAAAGUUUAUACUUAGAUUUUCUGCAGCACGUGCCUAAAGUUGAGUGGGGCGACAUCCGGUCUCCGGGGUCCACGGUAGCUGAGCUCAGCCACUUCUUCGACGAACUCCUCCUCUCUUCUUCCUCUCACACCAGAUCAGCUGAUGUAGAGGGAGGAAGAGAGUUGCUGAGUAUAAUCAAGAAUCUCAAGUUUGACACUUAUUUUGUCCAAGUGGUUGUCGUUGUCGCUAUCACCUGA